Molecule: long non-coding RNA, 1371 nt
Organism: Clupea harengus (Atlantic herring)
Lineage: Eukaryota; Metazoa; Chordata; Actinopteri; Clupeiformes; Clupeidae
Exons: 23
Source: RefSeq, a predicted model, not a curated record
CUGUGUAGUGAGUUGGAUUCGUCCCGUUCUUUUCUCACGUCACGGUACUCAUUUAACUCCACCUGAUCAACAAUUACUUAAUUAGUGGGCACUGCUUGGAUGUGGCUAUAAAGGCCUGCGAGUUUGCUGUGGUGUCUGAGCUUGUGAACCGCUACCUCUCCUGUGUGGUUUCCUCGUUCUCCUGCGGUGUCCGUUAACUGAAGGAAAUUGCACCACUUCAUCAGAGAACAAGAGUACUUUCUCUCAUCAAGGCUGAGAAUAGGUUGUGGGCAUUGCAGAGGCCUAGUUGAGGAUGCACUUCUUGGAUUGUGGUCUGGGAGUUGGUCAAUCUCCUGGAUGUGUGGUGGUUGAAGGGUCAACAUGAGAACCUCAUCUGAACUAAGCAUGUCUUCGGUCAUCAAGUGAAGUGGGAACCACAUCAUGAGGCUGCAGGCAGACACUGCCUAGGUGGAAGCUCUGUGAAGGACGUACGAAAUCAAUGCCCAAGACGGGUAAUAUGCCUGUAAAGAUCCAAGCAGCCAAAUCACGACCUUGGACCUACUCCUAUGAGUCAUGGCAAUCCCUGACUGGAUUUUAGGUGCCAGUAAAUUGUCCUCACCAUCUGUCAUAAAAUGGUGUCCGUUAACUGAAGGAAAUUGCACCACUUUAUCGGAGAACUAGAGUACUUCCCCUCAGCAAGGCUGAGAAUAGACUUGAGGUAACUGCCAGCAGUUAAUCUUGUUUAUAGGCCUGUGUUGUGUACUGGCUGUGGGCAUUGCAGAGGCCUAAUUGAGGAUGCGCUUCUUGGAUUGUGGUCUGGGAGUUGGUCAAUCUCCUGGAUGUGUGGUGGUUGAAGGGCCAACAUGAGAACCUCAUCUGAACUAAGCAUGUCUUCUGUCAUCAAGUGAAGUGGGAACCACAUGAGGCCAUGCAGAGGCAGACACUGCCUAGGUGGAAGCUCUGCUCUGUGAAAGAGGAUUAGCUGCUUGGAUCUUCACAGGCAUCAUCAUGUGUCUACUCCAGAACCUGAAAAGGUGAACCCACUGGAGUUGCCUGGGUUUGGCUGUUAUGGUGAAAUGAUUAGUGUCUGGUCCUGACCAUCUGUCUUAAAAUGGUUUGAAAUCCUUGGCAGAAGUCCUGGCCAGACACGGCUGAAAAAGGGACCAUACAUUCAGAUUGAUUGUUUUUUUUCUGUAUGCCGGAGAGUGAGCGGUCCAUGCCAGGUUUCAGAACAUGAUCAGGUUGCCUGCAUCCUCAGUGAUUUGGGUCCCCGCUAUCCCCAGGCUUUGGUACUCAAAAACCUGUCUGCUCCAAGACUCUUUGGCGUCAUCAUGUUCCAGCAUGGCUUUCUUGUACUACAGUUUUUAUUUGUGAAUAAAUGUGUGGCCCUAA